RNAcentral lists this long non-coding RNA (1240 nucleotides) under Neodiprion lecontei (redheaded pine sawfly). RNAcentral describes it as "uncharacterized LOC124294512". The record is from RNAcentral. Lineage: Eukaryota; Metazoa; Arthropoda; Insecta; Hymenoptera; Diprionidae.
AUCAAAAAUAUGAAAAAAUUCAGGUGACAUAACACUAGAAGUGAUAAUUUUAUUCUACGUAAUAUUGUAAAGUAGAACAAUAUGUUACCUCCAUUUUUUCAAAUUCUUUUCCUUGUGUUAUUGUUAAUUCCCUAACAUAGGAAAAAAAGUUGAAAAAUCGAUGAACAGAUUUUUUUACAAAGGUCACCAAGAAAUUACGUAGUUGAGCAUAUAAGUGCAUCCCUUCGCGGCGUCUUUAUUAAUUGUAAAACAUACGUUUUCCUAUACCAUAAUGUAUAUAUUGGAAUAACCCAUGCUAGGAAAGCGAGUGGCCGUAGAUGAAGCUCGUGUACCAUGGAUGUUACAUAUACGUAUAAUGAGCGCAUGUGUCAAACGACAAGCGGUCGCGAAGAAUCGAGAAUGUCCGAGCGUGAAAUACUCGCGCCUCUUCUUCUGCCUCUGAUUGGCUCGCUAGGUCAGCGUGUUGUAACUCGUACGGUUCCUGCACGCUGAGAGCCGAGGACGACGCGUCAGAAUGCCCCCCCCCCACCGUUCGCGAAGGCUCUCAGCUCACGCGAUCAGUGAAUCAGUCUAAUUUGACCAACUUCCGAGGUCAGUGCACGUCCGUGUUUAUGUGAGCCUUCAUAAGCUGGUAUUUGACGGAUUAGCAGUGAUAUCGAGGAAGUGAAUGCUCCAGCUGCGGUCGAAUAAUAAUUAAAACUUAUGCGUACUGCGUACCUAGACAACGCUUUCUAUAGCGUCUGUGUUCUUUUUUGAAAUAAUGUGCCAAUACUUUUUAUUAUUUUACUUUGUCAGGAUUGUGAUUUUUUACCUAGUCCCGAGAUGAAAGUUAACAAUUUUCCUCGUUAGGGUAUAAUCAUUGUAUGAUUAUUUUGUUUCAUGUUUUAUUUGUUAUCAAACCUCUUGUAUCGGAUAUAAGUUUUUGUUUGUUCAUGUUCACUUAAUUUUACUAUUUGCUAUACUUCUAUACUCUUGUGAGUACAUCUGUACAAUUGAGGUAUGCGUAUAUGUAAAAGACUGUAUGUUUAUUUAUACAUCCCAGUCAACAUUCACACAGUUACAUCGUUGGCAUAAUAAAAUGUCCGCAUCAACGAUACAGACAAACUGGUAUAUAAAAAACUACUGUUAUGUUUCGGAUACAUUGUUAAAGCGGAUAUUUCGAUACGUGUGCAAUGUAACUAUUGUCAUUGUUGCCUUGGAUGAAAGUACCUUAUAAUAAAUAUAUAUCAUGUUUCGCAAA